RNAcentral lists this transfer RNA (74 nucleotides) under Ictidomys tridecemlineatus (thirteen-lined ground squirrel). Its description in RNAcentral is "Spermophilus tridecemlineatus (thirteen-lined ground squirrel) tRNA". It matches the Rfam family "tRNA". From Rfam's summary of the family: Transfer RNA (tRNA) molecules are approximately 80 nucleotides in length. Their secondary structure includes four short double-helical elements and three loops (D, anti-codon, and T loops). Further hydrogen bonds mediate the characteristic L-shaped molecular structure. tRNAs have two regions of fundamental functional importance: the anti-codon, which is responsible for specific mRNA codon recognition, and the 3' end, to which the tRNAs corresponding amino acid is attached (by aminoacyl-tRNA synthetases). tRNAs cope with the degeneracy of the genetic code in two manners: having more than one tRNA (with a specific anti-codon) for a particular amino acid; and 'wobble' base-pairing, i.e. permitting non-standard base-pairing at the 3rd anti-codon position. Lineage: Eukaryota; Metazoa; Chordata; Mammalia; Rodentia; Sciuridae. The record is from Rfam by way of RNAcentral.
GAGGGUGUAGUUCAGUUGGUAGAGUGCUUGUCUCACUUGCACAAAGGCCCUGGGUUCAAUCCCCAGUACCACCA